This 557-nucleotide ribosomal RNA is filed under the name uncultured bacterium. Its description in RNAcentral is "bacterial SSU rRNA". It matches the Rfam family "Bacterial small subunit ribosomal RNA", at positions 60 to 640 of the family's 1533-position model. The record is from RNAcentral.
AGUCGGACGAGGAGGAGCAUCCUUCGAGUGGCGAACGGGUGAGUAACGCGUUGGUGACCUGCCCUGGAGUGUGGAAUACCAGGCCGAAAGGCUUGCUAAUACCGCAUGGCCCAAUGGGGGUUAGAAGCCCAUUGGGAAAGGUGAAAACCGCUCUGGGAGGGGCCUGCGACCCAUCAGCUAGUUGGUAAGUGUAACGGCCUACCAAGGCGAUGACGGGUAGGGGACCUGAGAGGGUGAUCCCCCACAAUGGAACUGAAACACGGUCCAUACACCUACGGGUGGCAGCAGUAGGGAAUAUUGCUUAAUGGGCGCAAGCCUGAAGCAGCAACGCCGCGUGUGCGAUGAAGGCCUUCGGGUUGUAAAGCACUUUUCACCGGGAAGAGGAAGGACGGUACCGGUGGAAUAAGCCUCGGCUAACUACGUGCCAGCAGCCGCGGUAAAACGUAGGAGGCGAGCGUUAUCCGGAUUUACUGGGUGUAAAGCGCGUGCAGGCGGUUGGCUAAGUUGGGUGUGAAAGCUCCUGGCUCAACUGGGAGAGGUCGCUCAAGACUGGCCGA